Non-coding RNA from Hydra vulgaris (swiftwater hydra), 395 nucleotides. The record is from RefSeq and is a predicted model, not a curated record. Lineage: Eukaryota; Metazoa; Cnidaria; Hydrozoa; Anthoathecata; Hydridae.
AAAAUUAAGAAAACUUGUAGGAGUGAGUUGCCAAAAUUAUAGCAGCAUCUUAAUUAAAACACUUGCAUUUAUUUAAAAAAAAAAUUACCUUGUAGCUAGUAAAACAUCUUAUUUUCUACGUUUUGAAAAUUUUUGAAAGUUAUCCGUCAAAAAAUGCACGAGUACCAUCUAUUUAAAGACCAUCUAGUUACUGAGUUAAACGCAAUAUUUGAUGAUACAACUAUAAAGACACUCGACUUCUUUUCAAAAAACUUGAGUUUAUUCAAAAACAAUAUUUUCUUCAACUAAAUUUCCGCCCAAAUGGUUUUUCUUUGGCGAAUAUGCAGACAGAGUUCAAGAUAUUAAAGAAGUUGUUAAUAAGUUUGUUAUAAAUGAUGGUAGACUAUACUUUAAAA